RNAcentral lists this ribosomal RNA (294 nucleotides) under uncultured bacterium. Its description in RNAcentral is "partial 16S ribosomal RNA". It matches the Rfam family "Bacterial small subunit ribosomal RNA", at positions 775 to 1067 of the family's 1533-position model. The record is from RNAcentral.
GGAUUAGAUACCCUGGUAGUCCACGCCCUAAACGAUGCGAACUGGACGUUGGGCUCAAUUAGGAGCUCAGUGUCGAAGCUAACGCGUUAAGUUCGCCGCCUGGGGAGUACGGUCGCAAGACUGAAACUCAAAGGAAUUGACGGGGGCCCGCACAAGCGGUGGAGUAUGUGGUUUAAUUCGAUGCAACGCGCAGAACCUUACCUGGUCUUGACAUCCACGGAAUCCUUUAGAGAUAGAGGAGUGCCUUCGGGAACCGUGAGACAGGUGCUGCAUGGCUGUCGUCAGCUCGUGCCG